GAGGGUAUACCUCAGUGGUAGAGCACAUGCUUAGCAUGCACAAGGUCCUGGGUUCAAUCCCCAGUCCCUCCA
Molecule: transfer RNA, 72 nt
Filed under: Camelus bactrianus (Bactrian camel)
Lineage: Eukaryota; Metazoa; Chordata; Mammalia; Artiodactyla; Camelidae
Also listed under: 2 other names
Rfam family: tRNA
About the family: Transfer RNA (tRNA) molecules are approximately 80 nucleotides in length. Their secondary structure includes four short double-helical elements and three loops (D, anti-codon, and T loops).
Source: Rfam by way of RNAcentral